Long non-coding RNA from Oncorhynchus tshawytscha (Chinook salmon), 7155 nucleotides. NCBI's taxonomy places the organism in Eukaryota, Metazoa, Chordata, Actinopteri, Salmoniformes, Salmonidae. The record is from Ensembl.
GCUAGACUUAUUAUUUGACUCUGGUCAGCUACUCAGUCUUUCCCCACCCCUAACCAUUCCCUUUCAGCUCACCCACGCAGGCUUCCUCUAAGCAUACUGAGCUGCCAGGGACGGACAGGGGAGGGGAAUAGAGAGCAUAAUUGCUUUCUUUACUCAGCUUGUAGACAGGCAGACAGUUUAGGCAGAGAGACACAGAAGAACACUUGGAGAGAUUGAGAGGAGGCACAAAAUAAAGAAAGAGAUAAGUAAGAUAAAAGGGAAACAAAUCACCAACAGCAAAAAAAAUGGAUCCCAACAAGAUGCCAAACGCCCCACCACCAGGCUGGAACCCAGAUGAGAAGUCUGGGAUGGGACAACCAGCUCCUCCACCCUACCAGGACCACCCCAACGCAGGAUACCCCGCACCAGCAGGCUACCCUCCCAAUCCCCAGGGCUACGCACCACCGCCACAGUAUGGAGGAGCUCCCGGGGCCCCUUACAGCCAGCCAUACCCCCAGGGACAGUACUCCCCGGGACACUACCCCCAGUCCACCGUCACAGUCCAGCCUACGGUGUUUGUGACCCGUGGAGCUCUGCCUUACCCUCUGCCAGACUACCUUGGCUACUCCAUUUUCACCAUGCUGUGCUGCUGCCUGCCACUUGGCAUCGCUGCACUUAUCUACUCCAUCUCGACUAGAGACGCCAACAACCAGGGUCAUCAGCAGAUUGCUGAGAAGAAUUCUCGUCUAGCGCGGAUACUGAACCACACCGCUCUGGGUAUCGGCAUCACCGUCAUCGUCCUGUACAUCGUCUCUGCCAUCAUCCUGGGCAACCGUAUCAACUGAUCUGACACCUCAACACCGGCUAGCACCACAGCCACCGCUUCUCUCAACCCCAGCACCCAAAAUCAUCAUAACCUUGACCACAUACAAUAGGUGACAGGCACUUUCCAAAGAGAUACAUCCCACUGGGGACAAACUGGUUGAAUCAACGUUGUUUCCACGUCAUUUCAAUGAAAUGGCGUUGAACCAACGUGGAAUAUAAGUUGAAUUGAUGCCUGUGCCCUGUGGGAUAUAUCAUAAUGCUGUUUAUUCAUCAAUGUUUAUGACAUACAUUUUGAAAACUACAUCUAAUGACUUACUUUUUUUAAUACCGGCAGACCGGAUAGUUUAAAUCAUUCAUUAUUUUGCCUGUUUAAUUGUAUAUGUAAUAUACAUAAAUAAACACCAAAUUAUGGACACAAAUUGUAUUUUGGAAUAUUUCUAAUACAUUUCUGAAGGAUAGUGUAUGUACAUUCAGUGUUUAUGGAUAAGUCAUAUCAGAGUUUAAAGACCGAUUUGACAAUGUUAUGAGAAUGCAGCAGAAAGAGACUAUUCUUAAAGUCUGAAAUGACAUGUAUUACUGGUUGUCAUUACACAGAGUGCCAGUGAGGUUACCACUCACAAGAGUAAACAUUUUACAACUCAAUGUCAAAUAUUUACUUAUUGUUACACAAAUAUAUCAAUUUGCUCAAUUCAGUGUUGUGGGCUAUCAGUAAUGACACAAGAAAGACUCAACUCAACUUAUUUUGGUCAACCGUGGUGACUAAUGCCUAGAUUCAAUUUGUAGAGCAGAAGAUCUGCUGAAAUGUAAAGGUCAUUUCCGUUUGAGUCGACAUAUGCAGCGUUUACCGUGAACGCAGUCUCUCUGCAGUCACAGGAACAUUGCCUUCCACGCUACGGAUUGAAUCUAGCCCUAGAAGUCCAAAUAAAUUGCAGGGCUGUUCCAGUUUGGCCUUACAGUUGAUUCAUUUGGUAAAAAUGUCCACACUAUCAAUGUCAUUUAGAGUCACAUAUUGCCAGAUUAUGUAUAACACUGUAUAUGUUAGGUAUAUAUUUUAUUUGACUAUGUAUUCAGUGUUGCUAAACUCUUCUAUUUACCAAGGGGUUGUACUUUAUCCUUCUCUAAGUGUGUAGUUGAUGGAAAUAGUGUUUACCUUGUAUCAUGUCUGUAUGUUUGUGAAAACACAAAGGAAGAGACCAUUAUAAGAAUGCAGAUAUUUAAACCAAAUUUGUUUUAAAAUACGGUUCAGUGUAAAUAAAAAUCACACACUGACUUCAGAAACUUUUAGAUCAAACGGCCUUUUGACUGGUGGCAGGGUACAACUAAUAAUCCUAGAGCAGGUUUUCAUCAAGGAUAUCUCUGUACUUUGCUCCAUUCAUCUUUCCCUCGAUCCUGGCUAGUCUCUCAGUCCCUGCCGCUGAAAAACAUGCCCACAGCAUGAUGCUUAAGGUCUUAAGGUGCCUUUUGGCAAACUCCAAGCGGGCUAGUUUAAAUCAUUCAUUAUUUUGCCUGUUUAAUUGUAUAUGUAAUAUACAUAAAUAAACACCAAAUUAUGGACACAAAUUGUAUUUUGGAAUAUUUCUAAUACAUUUCUGAAGGAUAGUGUAUGUACAUUCAGUGUGUAUGGAUAAGUCAUAUCAGAGUUUAAAGACACAUUUGACAAUGUUAUGAGAAUGCAGCAGAAAGAGACUAUUCUUAAAGUCUGAAAUGACAUGUAUUACUGGUUGUCAUUACACAGAGUGCCAGUGAGGUUACCACUCACAAGAGUAAACAUUUUACAACUCAAUGUCAAAUAUUUACUUCUUGUUACACGUGUAUCAAUUUCCUCAAUUCAGUGUUCUUUGCUGUCGGCAAUGACACAAGCAAUAUCUAAUUCAACUUAUUUCUGACAACUGUGGAGACUAAGGCCUACAUCCAAUCUGUAGCAUGGAAGGUCCGUUGUAUAGCACAAUUGAAAUUUAAAGGUCAUUUCCAAUUGAGUCAACAUAUGCAACAUUUACCGUGAAUGCAGUCUCCUCGAACACAGGAACAUUUCUUUUUUCCUUUUGGUACGGAUUGAAUCUAGCUCUUAGUAAGAGAUAGAUAUCUGCUAGCCAACUAGCUCUGUUUAGCUUAGCAUUUUAGCUGUCCAUAACUGUCCAUUUUUUAAAUUUCACCUUAACAUUUCAACAAAACAAAUGUUAGCUGACAUACUUGUAGUCUAUUAAUUGAACUUAAGUAGCUAAGAGGUUGCUAAAUGCUCAUCAAGCUAGCCUGCUCUGAUUAGCUUAGCAUGUUGCUGCUAGCUUGUUACAAUUUACUCUUUGCUUCAAGUCUAAGAGAUGUUGUCACAUUUGUCUGACUACUGUAUCACAAUAUUUUUUUCAAAACGUUACAACUUUUAACUCCAAGUUUUAUUUACAAGAUGCUCAGUUCAAACCUCCGCUAUGAUUUCAAGUUGUGCAUCUGUUAAACUCUGCCCAUUGACCUUUUAGAAACCAAUCGGAUUUGUUCUUCCCUAAACCAAUCAGAUUCUUUCUGCCCUUAGAACAAAGUUGACUACACGUUGACAACCUUCUCUUCAAUCACAGAGAAGAGCAGAAAUCUGUUGAUAGUGUAAAUCAAUAGUAGUCCUGUGUGGCUAAAUUGGUAGAGCAUGGCGCUUGCAAUGCCAGGGUUCUGGGUUUCAUUCCCACCGGGGACCUGUACGAAGUCACUCUGGAUAAGAUUGUCUGCUAAAUGACCCCAAAAAAUAUAGAAAUGCUCCCUGGGUCACUCAAUGGAUGGCCCAUUCACCAGUAUUUCUGUACUGUCACUGAGAAGACCCUUUAUGUCGCAGAGUUUAGAAAGACAGACUCCCACAACGAUCUGAUUAUGUUUGUCUUGGAAUUUUGUCACAUAUCACCCAUCUCACAUCCUGCUCCUCCCUCUCCAUGAGGUCACACACCAGUUAUAUAUCCUCCACAAAAAAACUAUUCAUGAAAUGUUCACUUUGUAGUCCGAUUGCACUCAACACAUUGCUUAGAACAUAUUGCAGAUACAGUAUUUUAUAUUUUAUAAAACACUAGAAUAACCAGUUAAUUGUUCAGAAUAUUUUAUUUAGGUUUUAGUUGGUAUUGAAUGUAAUGUGGUUUUCAAGGAGCCUGACCCGACAGAUUAUAUUAUGAUGAGUCAUAUCGACAAUAUGCUGCAGUGCUGAUAUAGGCCCAUGGGGAAAUUAGUAUUACGUGGGUAAGUGAGUGGAAUCAAGCUUCCAGUAGGUUUCUGGGGCCUCAUUUAUAAACCGUGCAUAUAUACAAAAUAUACCCCAAAAUGUGCAUGUGCAAGUUUUAUUUUAAAAAAGUACUUGACGUGAGAAUGUACUCACCUCCCUGCAAACUUCAGACCAUGCAUACUUACAUCUGCUAGUGGUUGAAAUAUUGUAUUGCAAGCUUGCAAGUGAGUACUUUGUGCGAAUGGGGGAUAUGAUGAAAAUAAAACAAAUUUAAGAGGAAAACAUAUUAACAAGAACACAACUAUUUGCCAUCAGUGAGAAGAGCAAAAAUAUGUUUUAUUUUCAGAAUCUAAAAUAGUUAGACAUUAUCUUAUAAUUAGACAAAGGAAUAUUUUUCCUAUUUAUUUUAUUUUCAUAACCAUUGCAGAAUAUACAGUGUUCCAGAAUACACAGUAUUCCAGAAAAUACAAUAAUUCUAACCUUUUCUGGCUGUGAUGGUUUCAUAUUCCAUACAACAAAUUACAAAGCACAUCUCUCAUGUAAUUGUGCAUAGUAGCCUAGUAAAUGGAUAGGCUAUAUGUAUUUCAAGUUUUGCAAUAUCAUGGAAAGCAGAGCAUACAGACAGACAGAUGGGAUGGAGGAAAUCUUGUGAACCUCAAGGAAAUGGAAGAAAACCAUUUGGUGGAGUGCCCAGAUAAUUAUUCAAGACACGCAAAUACACAAACCCCCAGAAAUACAACAACUGUCCAGUGCUAAGAGAGCCAACAAGCCCUUCUCCUCCAACUAGCCGUGUGGAAACAAUUAUGAUCCAGCUGCCAGUAAUCAGGAGGAGGGUUUACAAUAGCAGGCAGGCCUUCUCACGCCACACUACCCUAAAUUAACACAGAACCUCUCUGCCUAAAGCCUUCUGUCAACCCUCGCCCUGCUGUGGAAGCCAACUCAAUAAUUUCACCAGAGAACAGAAACAGAUUGAGGCUAUGUUAACAACGUCAUGUGACUAGGGGGAGGUUGAUUCAAUUGAGACUUAAAUUAAAUUGAGUCAGUCACUGUUGAGUGGGAGAGAUCUUAUAGGGGGGUGUGAGGUCAUGUUGUUAUUCUUUAAACAUAGACUAAGGUGUCAGAAACACUACAUUUAUUUCACUAUGAGAAUUUUAGCUUCUGCUGCUUACCCAAUAAUGCUUUGAGUGGGAAUUUUGGUGCCUGUUGUUUGUGUUUUACAGCCACUUCACGUUUGGCACAAGACUCUUCCUGACUUGGUGAAAGAAAGUAAUCCAAGACACACAUAUACUGUUCAACUUUUUCUUACAGCUUUACUGUUGCUUAGUGUGUGACUCAUACUGACUCUUGUAGUCAGCUGCUCAGAGAUGUCUAUAGUGUAAGGAGAGUCACGGACACUGAGACUUCAGUUAGUUGACUCAAUGUUUAGCAUCGCCUGUCAACUCUUGUUCUUCCCCCAAGAGAAAUAAUAACAGGUGUCAAAAUAUGUAUUACAAUAUAGCAUCAUUCUUAAGACUGUAGCUAGGGGAGAGAGCUCCAGGUUUGUGCUCCAUCCACAGUUGUUUCAACUUAGUGCUGCUUGGGGUGUGGCCACAGGAAAUCAGUAUUUUAGUUGUUUUUCAUCACUAGUAGGUAUUAAUAUUAUAUAUUAUAAAUGCUCUGCAGUGAGAGAGAAAAAUGUCCCUAUUUGUUUUUUAUUUUCUGACUUUGUUAGCAUGUUGGCUGAGUAUUGUGUUUGUGAAUUAAUACUGCAUCUCCUGAAAUAACUCCAAUCGAAUAAGAGCAUGGUGGCACUGAAUCAUCAUUGAACUCUCUCCGUUGAAGUCUCUUCCUCUUUUUCCUGAAUGACGAUUACAACAAUUACAACUCUCUCUCACUAUCUCCCUCUAUCCCUCUGUCCUUCUAUCCUUCUGUGCUCCCUCCCUCCUCCCUCCCUCCCUCCCUCCCUCCCUCCCUCCCUCCCUCCCUCCCUCUCUGCUCUCAGACUAGAGACGCCAACAACCAGGGUCAUCAGCAGAUUGCUGAGAAGAAUUCUCGUCUAGCGCGGAUACUGAACCACACCGCUCUGGGUAUCGGCAUCACCGUCAUCGUCCUGUACAUCGUCUCUGCCAUCAUCCUGGGCAACCGUAUCGACUGAUCUGACACCUCAACACCGGCUAGCACCACAGCCACCGCUUCUCUCAACCCCAGCACCCAAAAUCAUCAUAACCUUGACCACAUACAAUAGGUGACAGGCACUUUCCAAAGAGAUACAUCCCACUGGGGACACACUGGUUGAAUCAACGUUGUUUCCACGUCAUUUCAAUGAAAUGGCGUUGAACCAACGUGGAAUAUACGUUGAAUUGAUGCCUGUGCCCUGUGGGAUAUAUCAUAAUGCUGUUUAUUCAUCAAUGUUUAUGACAUACAUUUUGAAAAACUACAUCUAAUGACUUACUUUUUUUUAAUACCGGCAGACCGGAUAGUUUAAAUCAUUCAUUAUUUUGCCUGUUUAAUUGUAUAUGUAAUAUACAUAAAUAAACACCAAAUUAUGGACACAAAUUGUAUUUUGGAAUAUUUCUAAUACAUUUCUGAAGGAUAGUGUAUGUACAUUCAGUGUUUAUGGAUAAGUCAUAUCAGAGUUUAAAGACCGAUUUGACAAUGUUAUGAGAAUGCAGCAGAAAGAGACUAUUCUUAAAGUCUGAAAUGACAUGUAUUACUGGUUGUCAUUACACAGAGUGCCAGUGAGGUUACCACUCACAAGAGUAAACAUUUUACAACUCAAUGUCAAAUAUUUACUUCUUGUUACACGUGUAACAAUUUCCUCAAUUCAGUGUUCUUUGCUGUCGGCAAUGACACAAGCAAUAUCUAAUUCAACUUAUUUCUGACAACUGUGGAGACUAAGGCCUACAUUCAAUCUGUAGCAUGGAAGGUCCGUUGUAUAGCACGAUUGAAAUUUAAAGGUAAUUUCCGAUUGACUCAACAUAUCCAACAUUUACCGUGAAUGCAGUCUCCUCGAACGCAGGAACAUUUCUUUUUUUCCUUUUGGUACGGAUUGAAUCUAGCUCUAGAAGUCAAAAGGAAUUGCCACACUGUUCCUGUUUGGCCUUUCAGUUGAUUCAUUUGAUAAAAAUGUCCCCACUAUCAAUGUCAUUUAUAGUCACAUAUUGUCAGAUUAUGUAUAACGC